This 443-nucleotide ribosomal RNA is filed under the name uncultured bacterium. RNAcentral's name for it is "partial 16S ribosomal RNA". It matches the Rfam family "Bacterial small subunit ribosomal RNA", at positions 338 to 795 of the family's 1533-position model. The record is from RNAcentral.
CCUACGGGAGGCAGCAGUGGGGAAUAUUGGGCAAUGGAGGAAACUCUGACCCAGCAACGCCGCGUGAAUGAUGAAGGUCUUCGGAUUGUAAAGUUCUUUUCUAAGGGAAGAAGAAAGUGACGGUACCUUAGGAAUAAGCCUCGGCUAACUACGUGCCAGCAGCCGCGGUAAUACGUAGGAGGCAAGCGUUAUCCGGAAUGACUGGGCGUAAAGGGGGCGUAGGUGGUUUGACAAGUUGGUAGCGUAACUCCGGGGCUCAACCUCGGCACUACUACCAAAACUGUCGGACUUGAGUGCAGGAGGGGCAAAUGGAAUUCCGAGUGUAGCGGUGGAAUGCGUAGAUAUUAGGAGGAACACCAGUGGCGAAGGCGAUUUGCUGGACUGUAACUGACACUGAGGCACGAAAGCGUGGGGAGCAAACAGGAUUAGAUACCCCUGUAGUC